UUCCCAAAGCCUUCCACCAUUGUUACUCACUUUAAGCUUAAAUUUCCUUAAAAUCUCACCAUAUUUCCCAUAAUUAGCUUCAUAAAAACUGAAUAUCUACCCUAGCUAGAGUGCUUGGAAGUAAAAAGGAAGCAAGAAUCUUGAAGUUGGCAAGAAAGAGACUUGGCUAAAUUAAGGUACUGGAGAUCCCGAUCGUGAGCCCAGUAGACCACAGACUGGGUGAGUCCAUCUGACAGUUCUGCUCAGUGUCCGUGUCACCUCACUACCUGCAGUGCAUCGGUAGGGCACUAGGUGUCAUUUUGUCAUUUUGAUAUUUUGUAGCAGAUUUGUAUUUUCUCAUAUGUAUUUGAACUCAUGUAAUAUAUUUUGAUGGUUAUGUAAAUAAUGAAAGUUAUGACUAUGAAUGCAAGAUUUAAGCAUGUAUUUAUUGCUUGUAUAUGAGAAAUGGAUGUUGAGAAAUGAAAAGGUUGUUGAAACCUGAAACUGAAAAAUUGUUGAAACCUUGA
Long non-coding RNA from Hevea brasiliensis (rubber tree), 506 nucleotides. RefSeq lists it as uncharacterized. The transcript has 2 exons. The record is from RefSeq and is a predicted model, not a curated record. NCBI's taxonomy places the organism in Eukaryota, Viridiplantae, Streptophyta, Magnoliopsida, Malpighiales, Euphorbiaceae.